UUUUUAAAAUGGGGCCUUUCUCCAGUUUAUUUUGCCCAAUAAAAAUCCUUCACAGUCAGGUGGAGAGAGGAGAGAUACGUAUACAUAUAGAUCUUCGUAUAUAUUUAUAUAUAUACAUACCUCUGUACAGAUAUAUAUUCACCGUAGAAAAUCGCAAAGGCAGUAGCUCUUCACACCUUGAGAACCCAAUGGAAACAUACAACAGACCAGCAGUAGAUGGGGAGAUGUGGGGUGGUUUUCACGAGAAUUCCCAAAACAGAUACACCUUUGCUGUACAAAAAUCCCGGAACGCUGCGUUUUGAUCCCUUUUCUUUAUCAACCUCUUUUCUUUAAACACCAGAGGUGAAGUCAAGACAACGGUGUUUGGAAGUGACCAGUGGAUAGGAGAGACACCCAACUUUAUGAACCUCUUUUAAAUAUUUAAUUUUUAAAGUAUAUAUAUAUAUUUAUAUUCUUUUUAUUGUUUUUAUCUUCAUUUCUUUUUGCAAAGUCUCAUUAAACGCAGUUCGGAGACCCAGCAACAGUCAACGCAGAAACAAAACAGUAACAGAGUCUAGAUCAGAACACUUCUGGUUUGGAAUUCACAGUAAGAGCAGAAAGAGAGACCAAAGGCGUCAAGAAACGGACAAGAGGAAAGAAAGCACAAGGCUGGGCUUGAAUUUACAGUUGGGUAGGUCCAAAGUAGUUGGACCAAGGGUCUAAUGCGGAAGGUCCUACACACAGACACAGCCUGCAGCUCACCCGGUGGUGGAGCAGCAAUGGAGAGCUCUGCCUGCUCCUCCGUGGGGCUUUUAUUGCUGGUGAAAUCAGACAGCAGGCUUGCUCGGGGGGCCCUGGGUGGCCCAACCUGACGUUCUCCCAUCAGGGAGCUGGGUUUUGGGGAUGGACACCUACUGACCUGCUGAAGAACAGACGCAGAAGACGGGUGACUAAGUGACGUGCAUCGGUUUAGGAGGAGGAAACCCUCACAAGCGUACUGCCUGGGGCAAGGCAAAGACCAAGAGGGUUUCCUCUCGGCUCACAGCGAUUACCAGGUCCGAGUGAGUGCAAACGAAGACACCUUGGAGGAGCUCCAGCCCUGGGCUGGGCUCUGCGGGGACACCGCUGCGUGGAAAGGGACUGCAUAGACACAUUGGCCGGUUGUGCAGCAUUUCAUUGCACCGGUGGUGGAACGCUUUUGGCACCGGUGGUGGAGCUCUGCCUGCAUGUGUGUUGCUCCCUGCAGCCGCUGGAAGGGAACCCAAGUGCCACCUGAAUGGGAAAGGGGAUCUUCUCCUCCGAGAGAGGACAGCCUGGCUCUCAGGAAUGGCAGAGCCAAUGCCAUGGUCUCCCGCUGGUGUCUGGUUGUCACCAAAUGUAACUGGGUGCUCAGACACCCCAGGGGACCCAGCGGCUCCCACAUGGGUGAGCUAAUGGAGAAGACCCAGUAACAGUAAUGGGAUGGGCACCGGAGGGGGAUGGAGCACACCUCCUGUGGACCCAGACUGGUGGCCUGCUGGAUAUGGGCAGCUUUGGGCUCUCCGGAAGAAUGGGGACCACCAAGCUCAAACCAUUGGUGAUUAUUUGGAGCCAGAUUGGACUUUGCACCCCUUUCCCAAGGAGAGCCCAGGGCUAGAGCUAUGAAGGUAUUCAAAAGAACAUUGGUUUGCCUGCAGGUAUCAGAGUUGGGAAUAGUCCCUUUAGAAUCCCUCUAGAAAAACCUAUUGCUUUGUGACAGAAAGCGGAGACCUUCUGCCUGAGGAAACACAUCUGUGGAAGAGCUGUGAAGACACAACCCUGUGUGCCAGAGCUUGUCCCAGGCUCCAGACCUGACACCAUCCCCUUCAUCAGGAGAACCAGUGAGGAGGCUUAUCCUGAACAUGCAAAAGCUCAUGUCUGGUGUUGCCAGCAUGGAACAUCCUUUUGGGAAGCAAACAACUGCGAACAGCUGGAUGUGAUCCCAACCCCUUGAUACACUGGGUGCUGUGUGCCCCUGCAGAGCAGGGAUGCUCAUACACCCCUCACAUCCCUGUCUUUCCAGAGGGGGGAAGGACCAGGGAAGCCCCAGAGCUGGCUGGCUGUGCUGUUGCGAUGGUGUGAAGCCCCAUGCAAUGAUCCCAAGUGGUUUCAAGCCAUGGAGAUGUCCUUCAGCAAGUAGCAAGAUUGAUCUUGGAAGUAAAGCAGAGCCGAUUUAGCUGGGAAUGGGAAUGACAUGAGAGAAGAGGUGAGGAUCAGUGGUCUAGAAAGCUCUGCUGAGGUCAGGGUUGGGACACACCAUUAUCAGUAGAGGCUUUGCCUUCAGCUCCAGCUUGUUCAGAUGUGUCUGGGAGAGGCACUGACUGCUCCUGGGACAACAGGGAUGGUGAUGGUCUGAAAGGAGGCAGGAGAGCUGGGGCAGAGGACUAGCAGGGCAAAGGCAACAUGAUGAGCAGGUCUUUAGCAAGGGGUCUGGAUGAAAAGUGACUCUGUAAAGUGGCUUUCAAGGCUUAGAUUGAGGGGUUGGGUUAAAAUAAUGGCAAGUUGGACCUGCUC
This is a long non-coding RNA of Strigops habroptila (Kakapo), 2511 nucleotides long. The record is from Ensembl. NCBI's taxonomy places the organism in Eukaryota, Metazoa, Chordata, Aves, Psittaciformes, Psittacidae.